AGUUAUCCGUCUAUAUCCGCACCUUAUCCGCUUAUAUCCAUUGUGAAUACCGCAUAAACUAGAUCGUGGAACUAAUUUCUAUGUCUCUUUUGUUGAACAAGGCAAAGAUCUGGAGCGCCUUAAUAGAUCCAGGACACUAAUAAUGGAGUUAACAAUGGAGCUGAAGUGCUACAACACUUCAAUUGUUGUACUAAGAUCAGGGUCCGAGGGCUUUUUAUUUACUCCUGCACAACGUUAGGUGGUUUGGUACAUCUAUUGAGUGGUUGUGAAGUGGUUCAGGUGCUCAGUCCCAGCCUCGUCAGUGAUUUUCGAGUACCUUUGUCUACAUGUCCACAGUGGUGAGUCCUCAUGGUUCGAGGACCUAUUUUCAGACAUUUCAGUGUUUUAGUAGGUAUAUUAUUGCUUUCAGUUCAAUUUGAGUCAGUUGGGGACCUGUCCCAAUGGCUCUGUAGUUCAUAAAAUAGUAGAGGCUUUGUCAAACUAGUUAUCAAAUUAUUAGUAUGUUGAGAUUUCCAGUAUUGUGGUCAUUUGGAUCAAGUAUUUUCUUCGUAUCUUCUAUCAUUU
Capsicum annuum is the source of this 564-nucleotide long non-coding RNA. RefSeq lists it as uncharacterized. The transcript is spliced from 3 exons. The record is from RefSeq and is a predicted model, not a curated record. NCBI's taxonomy places the organism in Eukaryota, Viridiplantae, Streptophyta, Magnoliopsida, Solanales, Solanaceae.